RNAcentral lists this ribosomal RNA (448 nucleotides) under uncultured bacterium. Its description in RNAcentral is "bacterial SSU rRNA". It matches the Rfam family "Bacterial small subunit ribosomal RNA", at positions 335 to 803 of the family's 1533-position model. The record is from RNAcentral.
ACUCCUACGGGAGGCAGCAGUAGGGAAUAUUGGACAAUGGGCGAAAGCCUGAUCCAGCAAUGCCGCGUGAGUGAUGAAGGCCUUAGGGGUUGUAAAGCUCUUUUACCAGAGAUGAUAAUGACAGUAUCUGGGGGAAUAAGCCCCGGCUAACUCCGUGCCAGCAGCCGCGGUAAUACGGAGGGGCUAGCGUUGUUCGGAAUUACUGGGCGUAAAGCGCACGUAGGCGGCGAUUUAAGUCAGAGGUGAAAGCCCGGGGCUCAACCCCGGAACUGCCUUUGAGACUGGAUUGCUUGAAUCCGGGAGAGGUGAGUGGAAUUCCGAGUGUAGAGGUGAAAUUCGUAGAUAUUCGGAAGAACACCAGUGGCGAAGGCGGCUCACUGGACCGGCAUUGACGCUGAGGUGCGAAAGCGUGGGAGCAAACAGGAUUAGAUACCCUGGUAGCGACUGA